GCACAAGCGGUGGAGCAUGUGGUUUAAUUCGAUGCAACGCGAAUAACCUUACCUGGCCUUGACAUGUCUGGAAGUCUGCAGAGAUGCGGAUGUGCCUUCGGGAACCAGAACACAGGUGCUGCAUGGCUGUCGUCAGCUCGUGUCGUGAGAUGUUGGGUUAAGUCCCGCAACGAGCGCAACCCUUGUCCUUAGUUGCCAGCUUUAAGUAGGGAACUCUAAGGAGACCGCCGGUGACAAACCGGAGGAAGGUGGGGAUGACGUCAAGUCAUCAUGGCCUUUAUGGCCAGGGCUACACACGUGCUACAAUGGUAGAAACAGAGGGAAGCCAACGCGCGAGCGGGAGCCAAUCCCAGAAAAUCUAUCGUAGUCCGGAUCGGAGUCUGCAACUCGACUCCGUGAAGUCGGAAUCGCUAGUAAUCGCAGAUCAGCAUUGCUGCGGUGAAUACGUUCCCGGGC
RNAcentral lists this ribosomal RNA (456 nucleotides) under uncultured bacterium. RNAcentral describes it as "bacterial SSU rRNA". It matches the Rfam family "Bacterial small subunit ribosomal RNA", at positions 923 to 1379 of the family's 1533-position model. The record is from RNAcentral.